Molecule: ribosomal RNA, 253 nt
Filed under: uncultured bacterium
Lineage: Bacteria
Description: partial 16S ribosomal RNA
Rfam family: Bacterial small subunit ribosomal RNA
Source: RNAcentral
UACGUAGGUGGCAAGCGUUAUCCGGAAUUAUUGGGCGUAAAGCGCGCGCAGGUGGUUUCUUAAGUCUGAUGUGAAAGCCCACGGCUCAACCGUGGAGGGUCAUUGGAAACUGGGAGACUUGAGUGCAGAAGAGGAAAGUGGAAUUCCAUGUGUAGCGGUGAAAUGCGCAGAGAUCGGGAGGAACACCAAUGGCGAAAGCAGGUACCUGGACUAUUACUGACGCUCAGCUGCGAAAGCUAGGGGAGCAAACAGG